Molecule: unclassified non-coding RNA, 200 nt
Filed under: Hevea brasiliensis (rubber tree)
Lineage: Eukaryota; Viridiplantae; Streptophyta; Magnoliopsida; Malpighiales; Euphorbiaceae
Source: RNAcentral
UUCUGACGCUGCUGACCCUCACCGGCCUCGCCGGCUACAACGCCAUCGCCUAUCUCGGGCUGCGAUACACCGAGGCGCUGAAUGCGCUGCUGAUCCAGUCGUCGGGGCCGUUGAUCGUUGCGCUCUGGUCGUUNNNNNNGCUCGGCAUCCGUCUCACCUGGCCGCAAACCAUCGGCAUCGGCAUUUCACUGCUUGGCGUC